AGGCUGAAAUUCGCCUACAUGAAGCCGGAAUUGCUAGUAAUGGCAGGUCAGCAUACUGCCGUGAAUACGUUCCCGGGCCUUGUACACACCGCCCGUCACACCAUGAGAGUUGGGGAUACCCGAAGCCUGUGAGCCAACUAUAUAGAGGCAGCAGUCGAAGGUAGAAUCAAUGAUUGGGGUGAAGUCGUAACAAGGUACC
RNAcentral lists this ribosomal RNA (199 nucleotides) under uncultured bacterium. RNAcentral's name for it is "partial 16S ribosomal RNA". It matches the Rfam family "Bacterial small subunit ribosomal RNA", at positions 1302 to 1500 of the family's 1533-position model. The record is from RNAcentral.